This 463-nucleotide ribosomal RNA is filed under the name uncultured bacterium. RNAcentral's name for it is "partial 16S ribosomal RNA". It matches the Rfam family "Bacterial small subunit ribosomal RNA", at positions 28 to 507 of the family's 1533-position model. The record is from RNAcentral.
GAUGAACACUGACAGAAUGCUUAACACAUGCAAGUCGAUGGGGAAGUGGUGCUUGCACCAUGGCAACCAUGGCGGACGGGUGAGUAACGCGUAAGGGACUUACCUGCAGGACUGGGAUAACAGGGGGAAACUCCUGACAAGACCGGAUAAUGUCAUGGAGCUGCAUGGCUUUAUGAUGAAAGGAGACGCCUGCGGAGAGCCUUGCGUCCUAUUAGCUAGUUGGUGAGGUAAUGGCUCACCAAGGCGAAGAUAGGUAGCCGGCCUGAGAGGGUGGACGGCCACAAGGGGACUGAGAUACGGCCCUUACUCCUACGGGAGGCAGCAGUGGGGAAUAUUGGACAAUGGGGGCAACCCUGAUCCAGCAAUUCUGUGUGCACGAAGAAGGUUUUCGGAUUGUAAAGUGCCUUCAGCAGGGAAGAAGUAAGUGACGGUACCUGCAGAAGAAGCGACGGCUAAAUACGUG